CUUUGCAAGAUAAUUAAGGGUAAAAGUAAUUAAUGGACUACUGUGGGGCCAGUUACUCCAAAGCAUGUGGGUAUUUAGUGCCUACUUGGACUGUGGAACCAAAUAUCCGAAGUAUUCACAAAGUUCUCCUGGUAACAGAGUGUCUUCAUUUGGGGCUACUCAAACAGUGUUGGACGAACUUUAUCCCCGGAGUAAUUUCACUGGAGUGCAUGUGGCUGCAUGGGGGUUCUUGUAGUCCAGUGUAGGACUUUGACUAUGGACUCUUACCGUGUUCAUGCUUGAUUUUUAGGUUAUAGAGAAAAUUGUGUAAUGUCUUCUGUAAUGUAAAUAACAUGCAGUGAGUAUAUAUCAUCAUGGAUUGCUUGUUGUGAAAUGGAAGACUUUGUAACAUACGGUCAGAGCUCCACAAAGGAAAAGAGUAAAAUGAAAACGGAAACAGCAACAAUUUGAUUAUGGAAACAAUGCCAAUUUGUAAAUGAAAAUCUUUGAUUUUUUUUCCUUUGUUUUUGUUUUUUGUUCCCUGAAUCCUAAUGUACAUGCUAAGUAGAUCUGUGAAGACCUGCAGCUAAAUCAAAAACUCACACAAGCCAAGGACCUGGCUAUUAUCCAUGAGCAAAAAUACUACCCAAGCUGUUAAGCCUGACUGCCCAAUUACCACCAAAAAAAAAAAAAAAAAAAAACCCCCCCCCCCCAAAAAAAAAAAAAAAAGGAAUUCUAUGUAAAGAUAUAUAAAUAUACAUAAAUUCAAUAAUUCAAUGUGGCCAUGAGGAAACCGGGAAGCCAAGGCAAAGCUUGUAACUCAUCAGGACUCAAAUUAAAUUUUAAACCAAGUCUCAGUUCUGUAAAUUAA
RNAcentral lists this long non-coding RNA (850 nucleotides) under Anser brachyrhynchus (Pink-footed goose). RNAcentral's name for it is "lncRNA (ENSABRG00000018444.1)". Lineage: Eukaryota; Metazoa; Chordata; Aves; Anseriformes; Anatidae. The record is from RNAcentral.